GUGGGGAAUAUUGGACAAUGGGGGGAACCCUGAUCCAGCCAUGCCGCGUGUGUGAAGAAGGCCUUUUGGUUGUAAAGCACUUUAAGCGAGGAGAAGGCUACCGAGAUUAAUACUCUUGGAUAGUGGACGUUACUCGCAGAAUAAGCACCGGCUAACUCUGUGCCAGCAGCCGCGGUAAUACAGAGGGUGCAAGCGUUAAUCGGAUUUACUGGGCGUAAAGCGCGCGUAGGUGGCCAAUUAAGUCAAAUGUGAAAUCCCCGAGCUUAACUUGGGAAUUGCAUUCGAUACUGGUUGGCUAGAGUAUGGGAGAGGAUGGUAGAAUUCCAGGUGUAGCGGUGAAAUGCGUAGAGAUCUGGAGGAAUACCGAUGGCGAAGGCAGCCAUCUGGCCUAAUACUGACACUGAGGUGCGAAAGCAUGGGGAGCAAACAGGAUUAGAUACCCUUGUAGUCC
This 451-nucleotide ribosomal RNA is filed under the name uncultured bacterium. RNAcentral's name for it is "partial 16S ribosomal RNA". It matches the Rfam family "Bacterial small subunit ribosomal RNA", at positions 354 to 796 of the family's 1533-position model. The record is from RNAcentral.